CUGGAGGUAUCAGAAGUGCGAAUGCUGACAUAAGUAACGAUAAAGCGGGUGAAAAGCCCGCUCGCCGGAAGACCAAGGGUUCCUGUCCAACGUUAAUCGGGGCAGGGUGAGUCGACCCCUAAGGCGAGGCCGAAAGGCGUAGUCGAUGGGAAACGGGUUAAUAUUCCCGUACUUGGUGUUACUGCGAAGGGGGGACGGAGAAGGCUAUGUUGGCCGGGCGACGGUUGUCCCGGUUUAAGCGUGUAGGUGUGUGUUCCAGGUAAAUCCGGUUCACUUUAACACUGAGGCGUGACGACGAGGCACUACGGUGCUGAAGCAACAAAUGCCCUGCUUCCAGGAAAA
RNAcentral lists this ribosomal RNA (342 nucleotides) under Salmonella enterica. RNAcentral describes it as "partial 23S ribosomal RNA". It matches the Rfam family "Bacterial large subunit ribosomal RNA", at positions 1273 to 1616 of the family's 2925-position model. Lineage: Bacteria; Pseudomonadati; Pseudomonadota; Gammaproteobacteria; Enterobacterales; Enterobacteriaceae. The record is from RNAcentral. RNAcentral also lists the same sequence under 6 other names.